GGCCGCAUGACGUGAACCCCGGAAUAAGCCCCGGCUAACUACGUGCCAGCAGCCGCGGUAACUCGUAAGGGGGGAGCGUUGUUCGGAAUCAUUGGGCGUAAAGGGCGCGCAGGCGGCGAGGCAAGUCCGGUGUGAAAGUGCUCGGCUCAACCUGAGUGAUGCGCUGGAAACUGCCCUGCUUGAGAUACACGGAGAGGGACGUCGCGAAUUCCAGGUGUAGGGGUGAAAUCUGUAGAUAUCUGUGAAAAAAACCGGUGGCGAAGGCGGACGUCUGUGCCAUGUACUGACACUGAGGCGCGAAAGUGCGGGGAGCGAACAGGUUUAUAUACCCUGUGUAGUCCGCACACUAAACAAUAUGCACCCUGUGGGGGGGGGUAUCCCUCGGUACCCAAGCCAACACAUUAAGUGCACCCCCUGGGGAGUAUGC
This 427-nucleotide ribosomal RNA is filed under the name uncultured bacterium. RNAcentral describes it as "partial 16S ribosomal RNA". It matches the Rfam family "Bacterial small subunit ribosomal RNA", at positions 463 to 885 of the family's 1533-position model. The record is from RNAcentral.